GUUUAAUUAGGGUUGCAGCUAAACACUGCAGAAAGGUGGCUUCCCAGUAGCAGGAUUGGACACCAUGGAUAAAGACAUAAAAUGGGAUCUCCAGAGCAAAUAUUUCCAACCCUGUUCCCUGAGUACUCCUACCACUGCACAAUAUCAUAUAAGGGAUACAUCCAAAAUAUGUAUUGUUUAGAGUUCUCCAGGACAAGGGUUGGAAAUAACUGCUCCAGGAUAAAGAUUCAGACUUUUAGCUGAAACCAUGGUCCUUGGGGAUGAUAAAAUGCAAGUCAGAGUCAUCCUGUUUUUGAAAAAAAAAAAAAAAACUUCAUAUCAAGGAACAUAAAAUUCAAACCCAUGGCUCAUAACAAUAUAUAUGUUUUUAUAAAGUUAAACGAUCAGUCUGUGCAAGAAACUGAACAUUAUUUACAACAUUAUUACUUAUUUUUAUUAUUACUUGCGUUAUUGCCAAUAGGAUUUCUCUUUUCCGAGAACUGGUUCUUACAGACAGUUCCAUGAACUGGUUAAAUUCACUAGUUUGAAACUAGUUCAAACUGAACAUCACUCAUCAUUUGCCUGAGGCUCUGGAUUACAGGUAAUACAAUGCUGCUGACUUGCAUUUUAGCAAUCACCAAUGACCAUGGUCCCAGCUAAAAAUCUAAUGACUAUCCUACUGAAGAAAAAAAAGUCACCUACAUCUUGGACGACCUCAGAUGUGGCAUUAUGGGACUGGGCGCGCAUCAUUCAAAUCUGAAAUCCAGCCGACUGGAGCAGCGCGAGAAUGAUUGAAGAUUAGAGGCUUUAUUCAUAAUUCCUGGUGUGAAGAAUAGCAGCUGAUGUGGAGAAAUGUUUGAUGCUUCAAGACUCUGAAGCUGAUUAUAUUAGGUGAACCCAGUGGCUUUUGACUAUUUGAGGGUCAGAUGGUUGUGAAUUCAUACUUCAUCUUUGUGGCUGGAUUUGCAGUCUUAUUACAACUUCAGUCUGGCGUCCCGGGAGCAGACAUCUUUUGCACACUUGAGUUUUUUCAAAGAUUUUUUCUUGGAAUCACUACACUCACUGGAUACAAGACGGAUACAUAGAGGCAAAACAAGUGGAAAGGUCUCAGACCCUCGUGUGUGCUCAUCUCAGAAAGUUGAUGGACUUUCAGUAUGUAUUUAUUAAAUUGUCUUUUGCAGGAAUAUACUUAAUUUAAUAGAACAUAAGCUCAAAAAAAAGUGAUUAUACAAAUUCUGUUGAUUGACUUUCAUUUUUAUAGAAAGUUAAUGUUCUACUCAGAAUAUGGCUUUUUUUAUCAGGUAUUUGUAGUUAUUUUGUGAUGCUAUGUUAUUUUUUUUUUGAUAAGAUUUUAACUGUUGAAAGACUGAACAUUUUAUUU
Molecule: long non-coding RNA, 1360 nt
Organism: Cyprinus carpio (common carp)
Lineage: Eukaryota; Metazoa; Chordata; Actinopteri; Cypriniformes; Cyprinidae
Exons: 5
Source: RefSeq, a predicted model, not a curated record